ACAAGGGCGAAACUGACGGAUAGUUCGGCACGAACACCUGACGUAAUGCAGUGUUGCGGAGUAUUAUGUAGUGUUCCCACAACUCGCAUUGCGUUUUUUUAUAUUUAGUUAAAAUUAUCUACUUUAUAUCCCAAAACAGCCAAUCGUUAAUGUGAUAAAAUAAGAAAUUCAAAAUACAUUUUCGCUGACAGUGCAUUUAUGUAGUUUUAAACUAAAACCUUUAAUAACUGUUUCGAAAUAUAGUGCCUGUUGCGGCUGUCAAACGAUUAUAAGGUAGUAUAAAAACUUCAAUUACAACCAUAAAAACGACAUCUAGAGACGACUCGAGUUCCUCAAAUACUGCGCAAACACAGCAGCUGUUUACCCACUUUUAAAGACGUAGGGGUGAUCUUUAAUAAGGAACAAAAUUCCAUGUAAACAUACUACAUGGAAUGCUUUUGUUGUACAAUUUCGAACACAACUGUAUCACAUACUUCACAUACAAAAAUCCGUAAAGUUACAAGAAGAAGGCCAGGUGCCAGUGUUGGUGUUACUGUCAAAGCUGCAAGUGAAGCUUUUACACUUGGCUCACCAUAUAAAGAACCAUGUUGUCAACAAGCUUACUAAUCAACUGAGCAUACUCUUGCGAUGGUUUAGAAACCUUGGACAAUGGGAAACCAUAUAAUGUUUCAUAUAAUAUCCAACCCGCCCAAUUAGACUACAUCUGGGCAAAGUCAAACUGGUCCAAUUAAGCGGGGUUGACUAUAUAUUUAUCUAAAAAAUAUAUUUGUUUAACUUAUUAUAAUUACCUCUUCCAUUAUUUCCACAUAAUCCUUUCGACAUUCAUUAACUAAAUUUGAUAAAUCCUAAACGGGCUUUUCCUUUAAAUGAAUGGCAUGUAUGUUGUGAUAUUUGUCUGAAUAAGAUAAGGUAAAUGAAAUAAUAUGUUAAACUUCUGCCAUAAAUACAGUAGGGUGGGGCAAGAUGGCCCACGUACCUAUUUUAAACUAUCAUUUUAUCGUUCUUUAUUUGAUGAUAAUGUUACAAUACUGCUCGAUAUCAACCUCAUAAGUUGAAUACCUAUGAUCGAGUUACAAGUUGCGGCAUAAUAUUAAUAUAAAACUUUCAACCACGUGUACCAUCUUGCCCCACUUUGUAGUUUACAAGUAUUUACUUAACUCCAAUGCAAGUCAUGCAACCAUAUAAGAAGCGUUAACCACAAUCAGCUCCACACAACAGUUUACUAGUAUGCGGCAGUGGCGUUAACCGUAAGGUUGUCAUAGCUUUUAGGAUAACAUGGAAUAUAUCAAGUUGCCCAACGACCGACCAGACGACAAAUAAUUUAGAUACCAAGAUAGCCUAGCUCUAAUGAAAGGAUUGAAUGCAAGUUUUUCAUCUUCUUUUUCGAGUUGGACAGUAUUUUAUUCUGACAUUACGCAGUACGAUGAUUUUGCAACUUUUUUCUCUUCACUAUAUUUACUACCAAAGAAAAAUCGGUGAGUGCAUAUACGCUCAAUGGUGGUGAUUGUAGACAUGACUAUAUGAUAAAACGAAACACAGUAGACAACAACCGACUCCGAAGAGACUUCACCCAGGAUGACCCCCACGACACCGAUGACGACAUAAGAAGAAGCCUCAAUAGCGGAGAUGUACGUCACUUCCACAUGGAUGGUCAUUGAAGCUCUAGAGACGGCUCUGGACUUGGCUAGUAUCUCGCCUAGGCUGCUAUGUUCGUCUACGCGGCGAAGUUAGGCACCGAGAAGCUUAAGUGCGUCCCAAACAGUUCCACGGUUGCUAGGUACCGAUGAGCCAACAGCGUUCGAAGCUACAGAGACUAGCAAUGUCGUAACAACCAGCUCGUUUCGUGGCCCACGAACCAUGAGGAAUUCAUAUAUUCCGUCCACAGAAACAGUUUGAAGUAAAUAUUAUUGUUGAAAAAUAUGUACACUACAUUGGUUGUUGUAUGGUGUUAUAGACCAUUAGCAUGCAUUUUCGUGAUUUUCUUAACAAACAAAUUACAUUGAGUUUCUAUUAACUAAAGUAUACGUGUAUAUAUUAGCAUACUACAAUUCAAUUUAUGGUUUUCUUGAUUAAACAGAGCAAGCGUCCUACCGACAACAACUUUACAUACAAAUCAAAUACUUUAGUUAAAAUAACUCAAAUGUGCUUUUUGUGUUAAGUUCUUGUAUGGCCGUAGAACGUUUAUUCUGUUUAAUCAGAAUAAACAUAAAUUUAACCUUAACCAAUUCAUAGCUGUUUCUGCCCUGAUAUGCAAAAACUGUUGUGAAUGCAGACUUUUCAAAGUGGCUG
Non-coding RNA from Ciona intestinalis (vase tunicate), 2289 nucleotides. NCBI's taxonomy places the organism in Eukaryota, Metazoa, Chordata, Ascidiacea, Phlebobranchia, Cionidae. The record is from RefSeq and is a predicted model, not a curated record.